This 2192-nucleotide ribosomal RNA is filed under the name Rhodococcus rhodochrous. RNAcentral's name for it is "bacterial LSU rRNA". It matches the Rfam family "Bacterial large subunit ribosomal RNA", at positions 17 to 2002 of the family's 2925-position model. Lineage: Bacteria; Bacillati; Actinomycetota; Actinomycetes; Mycobacteriales; Nocardiaceae. The record is from RNAcentral.
GCGCAUAGUGGAUGCCUUGGCACAUCAUGCUGAUGAAGGACGUGAGAGGCCGCGAUAGUCCUCGGGGAGUUGUCUACUGAGCGUUGAUCCGAGGGUGUCCGAAUGGGGAAACCCGGCACCUGUCUGUUGGUGGGUGUCACCGUGUUGCUGAAUGUAUAGGCUUCGCGGGGGUGGAACGGGGAAGUGAAACAUCUCAGUACCUGUUUUUUGAGAAAACGAAUGUGAUUCCGUGUGUAGUGGCGAGCGAUAGCGGAUGAUGGCUAAACCUGGUGUGUGGAUAACUCGGUAGGGGUUGCAUGCUGGGGGUUGUGGGGCAUCGUUGUUCCUGGUCUACCGGCUGGGGUUGUGGGUUGUGUGUGUGAGUUGAACUGGUUUGGGAUGGCCGACCGGAGUGGGUGAGAGUCCCGUAGGCGAAUACACGCAUGAUGCGCAAUGAUGGUGUUCCCGAGUAGCAGCGGGCUCGUGGAAUCUGCUGUGAAUCUGCCGGGACCGCCUGGUAAGCCUGAAUGACAUGGUGUGACCGAUAGUGGAUAGUACCGUGAGGGAAUGGUGAAAAGUACCCCGGGAGGGGAGUGAAAUAGUACCUGAAACCGUGCGCUUACAAUCCGUCAGAGCCUUCGAACACUUCGGUGUUGGGGGUGAUGGCGUGCCUUUUGAAGAAUGAGCCUGCGAGUUAGUGGCAUGUCGCGAGGUUAACCCGUGUGGGGUAGCCGUAGCGAAAGCGAGUCCGAAUAGGGCGAGUCAGUGGCAUGUUCUAGACCCGAAGCGGAGUGAUCUACCCAUGGCCAGGGUGAAGCGACGGUAAGACGUCGUGGAGGCCCGAACCCACUUAGGUUAAAAACUGAGGGGAUGAGUUGUGGGUAGGGGUGAAAGGCCAAUCAAACUCCGUGAUAGCUGGUUCUCCCCGAAAUGCAUUUAGGUGCAGCGUCGCGUGUUUCUCACCGGAGGUAGAGCUACUGGAUGGUCUAGGGGGCCCACAAGCUUACCGAAAUCAGCCAAACUCCGAAUGCCGGUGAGUGAGAGCGCGGCAGUGAGACUGCGGGGGAUAAGCUUCGUAGUCGAGAGGGAAACAGCCCAGAUCGCCGGCUAAGGCCCCUAAGCGUGUACUAAGUGGAAAAGGAUGUGGGAUCGCUGAGACAACCAGGAGGUUGGCUUAGAAGCAGCCACCCUUGAAAGAGUGCGUAAUAGCUCACUGGUCAAGUGGUCCUGCGCCGACAAUGUAGCGGGGCUCAAGUACACCGCCGAAGCCGCGGCAUUCACAUAACACCCCGGAAGGGUUACGGCUUUUCCGGCAGUGGUGUGGAUGGGUAGGGGAGCGUCGUGUGGCCGUAGAAGCGCCGGAGUGAUCCAGGUGUGGAGGCCACGCGAGUGAGAAUGCAGGCAUGAGUAGCGAAAGACGAGUGAGAAACUCGUCCGCCGGAUGACCAAGGGUUCCUGGGCCAGGUUAAUCCGCCCAGGGUGAGUCGGGACCUAAGGCGAGGCCGACAGGCGUAGUCGAUGGACAACGGGUUGAUAUUCCCGUACCCGUGUAUCCGCGCCCAAUGGCGAAUCAGUUGUGCUAACCGUCCAAAAGUCUCCGGUGUUCCUUCGGGAACUGUGGGGAUGGCUGCACGGGACCCUGAUUGUAGUAGUCAAGCGAUGGGGUGACGCAGGAAGGUAGCUGGGCCAGGUGAUGGAAUACCUGGUGUAAGCCGGUAGGGCGAAUGGUAGGCAAAUCCGCCAUUCAUCAAGCCUGAGAGGUGAUGCGUACCCGUUGAGGGGAAUUCAGUGAUCCUAUGCUGCCGAGAAAAGCCUCUAGUGAGUUGGUACACGGCCCGUACCCCAAACCGACACAGGUGGUCAGGUAGAGAAUACCAAGGCGCUUGAGAGAACUCGGGUGAAGGAACUAGGCAAAAUGGUGCCGUAACUUCGGGAGAAGGCACGCUGAUAUGUAGGUGAGGUCCCUCGCGGAUGGAGCUGAAAUCAGUCGAAGAUACCAGCUGGCUGCAACUGUUUAUUAAAAACACAGCACUGUGCAAACACGAAAGUGGACGUAUACGGUGUGACGCCUGCCCGGUGCCGGAAGGUUAAUUGAUGGGGUUAGCGCAAGCGAAGCUCUUGAUCGAAGCCCCGGUAAACGGCGGCCGUAACAAUAACGGUCCUAAGGUAGCGAAAUUCCUUGUCGGGUAAGUUCCGACCUGCACGAAUGGCGU